GUGCCAGCAGCCGCGGUAAUACGUAGGGUGCGAGCGUUACUCGGAAUUACUGGGCGUAAAGGGUGCGCAGGCGGAUCCUUAAGCCAGACGUGAAAUCCCCGGGCUUAACCUGGGAAUGGCGUUUGGAACUGGGGAUCUAGAGUGCGGCAGAGGGGGGUGGAAUUCCUGGUGUAGCAGUGAAAUGCGUAGAGAUCAGGAGGAACACCGAUGGCGAAGGCAGCCCCCUGGGCCGACACUGACGCUCAGGCACGAAAGCGUGGGGAGCGAACAGGAUUAGAUACCCCCGUAGUCC
RNAcentral lists this ribosomal RNA (292 nucleotides) under uncultured bacterium. RNAcentral describes it as "partial 16S ribosomal RNA". It matches the Rfam family "Bacterial small subunit ribosomal RNA", at positions 505 to 796 of the family's 1533-position model. The record is from RNAcentral.